This is a long non-coding RNA of Hemicordylus capensis (graceful crag lizard), 452 nucleotides long. RefSeq lists it as uncharacterized. NCBI's taxonomy places the organism in Eukaryota, Metazoa, Chordata, Lepidosauria, Squamata, Cordylidae. The transcript has 3 exons. The record is from RefSeq and is a predicted model, not a curated record.
GUUCAAACCCAUGAGCUCCGUGCCAGGAUGGGUGGUGAGGUGUGGCAGGAGGGCUUCCCCUACCAAGAAGAAGGAUGAAGUAGAUCACUGCAGCCAGCCAGCCCUGGGCCAGUUCUCAGGGGAAGCACAGCAGCCCACUCCAUGCUCUCCCUAUAGAUGACUUGCAGAACAAGGAAGGAAUGCCAGCAAAAUUCUCCAGGCUCAGCUUGCCUCAAUUGAUAAACAAAUUCUUCAGGCUUAGAGAGCCCUCACCUCAAUGCGAGGGAAAUUUCCAGAGCCUGAGUUCUCCUGAGCUCAGGAAAAUCUUCCCCUACGACAUGCCGGCUCACUACACUUAAUUUGCAUGUCGUCUUGUCAGCAGGGAGUAGAGCGGAAGAAUCACCAGCAGUGGCACCAUUGUCUCAUAAGGAUGGACACACUUUCUUUUUCUCUGCUGCUGGCUUAAAGUUGUG